Molecule: ribosomal RNA, 423 nt
Filed under: uncultured Anaerovorax sp.
Lineage: Bacteria; Bacillati; Bacillota; Clostridia; Peptostreptococcales; Anaerovoracaceae
Description: bacterial SSU rRNA
Rfam family: Bacterial small subunit ribosomal RNA
Source: RNAcentral
UGGGGGAUAUUGCACAAUGGGGGGAAACCCUGAUGCAGCAACGCCGCGUGAAGGAAGAAGGUCUUCGGAUUGUAAACUUUUGUCCUUGGUGAAGAUAAUGACGGUACCCAAGGAGGAAGCCCCGGCUAACUACGUGCCAGCAGCCGCGGUAAUACGUAGGGGGGCGAGCGUUAUCCGGAAUUAUUGGGCGUAAAGAGUGCGUAGGUGGUUACCUAAGCAGGGGGUGAAAGGCACUGGCUUAACCAAUGUCAGCCCUCUGAACUGGGCUACUUGAGUGCAGGAGAGGAAAGCGGAAUUCCUAGUGUAGCGGUGAAAUGCGUAGAUAUUAGGAGGAACACCAGUGGCGAAGGCGGCUUUCUGGACUGUAACUGACACUGAGGCACGAAAGUGUGGGGAGCAAACAGGAUUAGAUACCCUGGUAGU